This 172-nucleotide ribosomal RNA is filed under the name uncultured Lactobacillus sp. Its description in RNAcentral is "partial 16S ribosomal RNA". It matches the Rfam family "Bacterial small subunit ribosomal RNA", at positions 359 to 525 of the family's 1533-position model. Lineage: Bacteria; Bacillati; Bacillota; Bacilli; Lactobacillales; Lactobacillaceae. The record is from RNAcentral.
GGAUCUUCCACAUGGGCGCAGCCUGAUGGAGCAACACCGCGUGAGUGAAGAAGGGUUUCGGCUCGUAAAGCUCUGUUGUUGAAGAAGAACGUGCGUGAGAGUAACUGUUCACGCAGUGACGGUAUUCAACCAGAAAGUCACGGCUAACUACGUGCCAGCAGCCGCGGUAAUA